AACGCGAAGAACCUUACCUGGGCUCGAAAUUUUGUUGACAGUCUCAGAGAUGAGAUUUUCCCGCAAGGGACAGCAGAAUAGGUGCUGCAUGGCUGUCGUCAGCUCGUGUCGUGAGAUGUUGGGUUAAGUCCCGCAACGAGCGCAACCCUCACCCUUAGUUGCUCGUCCGCAAGGAAAGCACCCUAAGGGAACUGCCUCGGAUAACGGGGAGGAAGGUGGGGAUGACGUCAAGUCCUCAUGGCCUUUAUGUCCAGGGCUACACACGUGCUACAAUGGCCGGUACAAACCGUCGCUAACCCGCGAGGGGGAGCCAAUCGGAAAAAACCGGUCUCAGUUCGGAUUGCAGGCUGCAACUCGCCUGCAUGAAGCUGGAAUCGCUAGUAAUCACGUAUCAGAACGACGUGGUGAAUACGUUCCCGGGCCUUGUACACACCGCUGUA
This 440-nucleotide ribosomal RNA is filed under the name uncultured bacterium. RNAcentral describes it as "bacterial SSU rRNA". It matches the Rfam family "Bacterial small subunit ribosomal RNA", at positions 958 to 1398 of the family's 1533-position model. The record is from RNAcentral.